AGCGUAGCGACGUAUGUUUGCGCGCGGCCAUGACAAGGCCCAGCCGUCGGCGGUUCGAUCCCGUCCCUGGCCA
RNAcentral lists this transfer RNA (73 nucleotides) under Acidobacteriota bacterium. RNAcentral's name for it is "Acidobacteria bacterium (soil metagenome) tRNA-Val". The record is from RNAcentral. Lineage: Bacteria; Pseudomonadati; Acidobacteriota.